GCCGGGCGUGGUGGCGCACGCCUGUAAUCCCAGCUACUUGGGAGGCUGAGACAGGAGAAUUGCUUGAAUCUGGGAGGUGGAGGUGGCAGUUGAGUGGAGAUCACGCCACUGCACUCCAGCCUGGGCAACACAGCGAGACUCUGUCUAAA
This 149-nucleotide non-coding RNA is filed under the name Nomascus leucogenys (northern white-cheeked gibbon). The record is from Rfam by way of RNAcentral. Lineage: Eukaryota; Metazoa; Chordata; Mammalia; Primates; Hylobatidae.